AGAAGGUUUUCGGAUCGUAAAACUCUGUUGGUAGAGAAGACGUUGGUGAGAGUGGAAAGCUCAUCAAGUGACGGUAGCUACCCAGAAAGGGACGGCUAACUACGUGCCAGCAGCCGCGGUAAUACGUAGGUCCCGAGCGUUGUCCGGAUUUAUUGGGCGUAAAGCGAGCGCAGGUGGUUUAUUAAGUCUGA
This 191-nucleotide ribosomal RNA is filed under the name uncultured Lactococcus sp. RNAcentral's name for it is "partial 16S ribosomal RNA". It matches the Rfam family "Bacterial small subunit ribosomal RNA", at positions 409 to 592 of the family's 1533-position model. Lineage: Bacteria; Bacillati; Bacillota; Bacilli; Lactobacillales; Streptococcaceae. The record is from RNAcentral.